Molecule: ribosomal RNA, 648 nt
Filed under: uncultured bacterium
Lineage: Bacteria
Description: bacterial SSU rRNA
Rfam family: Bacterial small subunit ribosomal RNA
Source: RNAcentral
UGAGAUGGACCCGCGUCUGAUUAGCUAGUUGGCGAGGUAACGGCCCACCAAGGCGACGAUCAGUAGCCGGCUGAGAGGGUGAACGGCCACAUUGGGACUGAGACACGGCCCAAACUCCUACGGGAGGCAGCAGUGGGGAAUAUUGCACAAUGGGGGAAACCCUGAUGCAGCGACGCCGCGUGAGUGAGGAAGGUCUUCGGAUCGUAAAGCUCUGUUGUAAGAGAAAAACGACAUUCAUAGGGAAUGAUGAGUGAGUGAUGGUAUCUUACCAGAAAGUCACGGCUAACUACGUGCCAGCAGCCGCGGUAAUACGUAGGUGGCGAGCGUUAUCCGGAAUGAUUGGGCGUAAAGGGUGCGUAGGUGGCAGAACAAGUCUGGAGUAAAAGGUAUGGGCUCAACCCGUACUGGCUCUGGAAACUGUUCAGCUAGAGAACAGAAGAGGACGGCGGAACUCCAUGUGUAGCGGUAAAAUGCGUAGAUAUAUGGAAGAACACCGGUGGCGAAGGCGGCCGUCUGGUCUGUUGCUGACACUGAAGCACGAAAGCGUGGGGAGCAAAUAGGAUUAGAUACCCUAGUAGUCCACGCCGUAAACGAUGAGAACUAGGUGUUGGGGGAAUAACUCAGUGCCGCGAGUUAACGCAAAUAAGU